AGCAAUCCCCCGGUAGGGUGGCGAACGGGUGAGUAAGACAUGGGAAUCUGUCCCGGAGAUGGGGAUAUCCUUCCGAAAGGAGGGUUAAUACCGAAUACCGUCCGGUGGACGAGAGUCCAUCGGGGAAAGGGAGGCCUCUGGCAACAUGCUUCCGCUCCGGGAGGAGCCCAUGGCCCAUCAGCUAGUUGGGAGGGUAACGGCCUACCAAGGCGAAGACGGGUAGCUGGUCUGAGAGGACGAUCAGCCACACUGGCACUGAGACACGGGCCAGACUCCUACGGGAGGCAGCAGUGAGGAAUUUUGCGCAAUGGGGGCAACCCUGACGCAGCAACGCCGCGUGGGAAGAAGGCUUUCGGGUUGUAAACCACUUUUGUAAGGGACGAAGUCCCUUCGGCAAAUAACCGAGGGGGAUGACGGUACCUUGCGAAUAAGCCACGGCUAACUCUGUGCCAGCAGCCGCGGUAAGACAGGGGUGGCAAGCGUUGUUCGGAGUAACUGGGCGUAAAGGGUCUGUAGGUGGUUUUUCAAGUCUUUGGUAAAACGCCGUGGCUCAACCAUGGUUUGGCCAAGGAGACUGGGAGACUCGAGGCUGGGAGAGGGAAGCGGAAUUUCUGGUGUAGCGGUGAAAUGCGUAGAGAUCAGAAAGAAGGCCGGUGGCGAAGGCGGCUUCCUGGAACAGACCUGACACUGAGAGACGAAAGCGUGGGGAGCAAACAGGAUUAGGUACCCUGGUAGUCCACGCCCUAAACGAUGGGAACUAAGUGUGGGGAGCAAUCCCCGUGCCGCAGCUAACGCAAUAAGUUCCCCGCCUGGGGAGUACGGCCGCAAGGUUGAAACUCAAAGGAAUUGACGGGGGCCCGCACAAGCGGUGGUGCAUGUGGUUUAAUUCGACG
This 893-nucleotide ribosomal RNA is filed under the name bacterium enrichment culture. Its description in RNAcentral is "bacterial SSU rRNA". It matches the Rfam family "Bacterial small subunit ribosomal RNA", at positions 78 to 956 of the family's 1533-position model. The record is from RNAcentral.